Small nuclear RNA from Hippopotamus amphibius kiboko, 105 nucleotides. The record is from RefSeq and is a predicted model, not a curated record. Lineage: Eukaryota; Metazoa; Chordata; Mammalia; Artiodactyla; Hippopotamidae.
GGAUCACUUUGGGAAUACAUAUACAAAAACUGAAACAAUACAGAGAAGAUUAGCGUGGUCCCUGCAUAAGAUGAUACACAAAUUUUUGAAAUGGUCAAUAUUUUC